Molecule: long non-coding RNA, 605 nt
Organism: Gossypium arboreum
Lineage: Eukaryota; Viridiplantae; Streptophyta; Magnoliopsida; Malvales; Malvaceae
Exons: 2
Source: RefSeq, a predicted model, not a curated record
UCAAAGAAUAUCGAAAUAGCAAGAUGCAGAUCAGGCCCAGGUUUGAAUUGCCAGAAGAUUUGGUUAUGGAAAUUCUGUCAAAGCUUCCAGUUAAAUCCCUUACUCGCUUCAACUGUGUUUUCCCCUCUGUUCAUGGUGCUUGUGAUGGAUUGUUGUGUUUACAAGAAUCUUCAACGGAUAAGGCUGCCAUUUGGAACCCAUCAACCAGAGAGUUUAAAAUCCUUCCACCGUCUUCAAUACAAUGCCCUCCAUAUUUUUCCUCCAUCCAAGAAGGUCGCUUGACUUGAGUCGAGGUUUCUUUUAGGCACGCUGCUUUUGGGUUUGAUUCUAAAACUGAUGACUACAAAGUCAUACGAUUUGUUGUUCUUACUUUUAUUAAUAGUGAAGACGAACGUCAUUUUGAGCCCCAUGUUGAGUUGUAUUCAUUUAGAAGUGAUUCCUGGAAGGAAAUUCCAUCUCCUGGUUAUGCACUAACUCAUCUAUUCUUGGGAAUAAUUGCAUAGAUGGAAUUUGCUAUUGGAAAACAGAGUGUCUGGUAUUUCAUGAUUUUGUAGGACCAAUUUUUUCAUUUGACAUGGCUAAUGAGAAGUUCUCGAUUUUAUCAA